RNAcentral lists this ribosomal RNA (433 nucleotides) under uncultured bacterium. RNAcentral's name for it is "partial 16S ribosomal RNA". It matches the Rfam family "Bacterial small subunit ribosomal RNA", at positions 29 to 507 of the family's 1533-position model. The record is from RNAcentral.
AACGAACGCUGGCGGCAUGCCUAACACAUGCAAGUCGAACGAGACCUUCGGGUCUAGUGGCGCACGGGUGCGUAACGCGUGGGAACCUGCCCUUAAGUUCGGAAUAACUCCCCGAAAGGGGUGCUAAUACCGGAUAAUGUCUUCGGACCAAAGAUUUAUCGCCUUUGGAUGGGCCCGCGUUGGAUUAGCUAGUUGGUAGGGUAAAAGCCUACCAAGGCGACGAUCCAUAGCUGGUCUGAGAGGAUGAUCAGCCACACUGGGACUGAGACACGGCCCAGACUCCUACGGGAGGCAGCAGUUGGGAAUAUUGGACAAUGGGCGAAAGCCUGAUACAGCAAUGCCGCGGGAGUGAUGAAGGCCUUAGGGUUGUAAAGCUCUUUUAACCGGGAUGAUAAUGACAGUACCGGGAGAAUAAGCGCCGGCUAACUCCGUG